This 74-nucleotide transfer RNA is filed under the name Spathaspora arborariae UFMG-19.1A. RNAcentral's name for it is "tRNA-Val (AAC) (tRNA-Val-AAC-3-1)". The record is from RNAcentral. Lineage: Eukaryota; Fungi; Ascomycota; Pichiomycetes; Serinales; Debaryomycetaceae.
GGUUCCGUGGUCUAGUUGGUUAUGGCAUCUGCUUAACACGCAGAACGUCUCCAGUUCGAUCCUGGGCGGAAUCA